CUGAUCAGCAUGCCGCGUGUGUGAGAGGCCUUCGGGUUGUAAAGCUCUUUUGUCCGGAAAGAAAUCCUUGGCUCUAAUACAGUCGGGGGAUGACGGUACCGGAACAAUAAGCACCGGCUAACUACGUGCCAUCAGCCGCGGUAAUACGUAAGGUGCGAGCGUUAAUCGGAAUUACUGGGCGUAAAGCGUGCGCAGGCGGUUUGCUAAGACCGAUGUGAAAUCCCCGGGCUCAACCUGGGAACUGCAUUGGAGACUGGCAGGCUAGAGUAUGGCAGAGGGGGGUAGAAUUCCACGUGUAGCAGUGAAAUGCGUAGAGAUGUGGAGGAAUACCGAUGGCGAAGGCAGCCCCCUGGGCCGAUACUGACGCUCAUGCACGAAAGCGUGGGGAGCAAACAGGAUUAAAUACCCCUGUAGUCAA
RNAcentral lists this ribosomal RNA (418 nucleotides) under uncultured Burkholderia sp. Its description in RNAcentral is "bacterial SSU rRNA". It matches the Rfam family "Bacterial small subunit ribosomal RNA", at positions 383 to 797 of the family's 1533-position model. Lineage: Bacteria; Pseudomonadati; Pseudomonadota; Betaproteobacteria; Burkholderiales; Burkholderiaceae. The record is from RNAcentral.